This 253-nucleotide ribosomal RNA is filed under the name uncultured bacterium. Its description in RNAcentral is "partial 16S ribosomal RNA". It matches the Rfam family "Bacterial small subunit ribosomal RNA", at positions 524 to 776 of the family's 1533-position model. The record is from RNAcentral.
UACGGAGGGUGCAAGCGUUGUCCGGAAUUAUUGGGCGUAAAGAGCUCGUAGGCGGUCUGUCGCGUCGGCUGUGAAAACUGGGGGCUCAACCCCAAGCCUGCAGUCGAUACGGGCAGACUAGAGUGCGGUAGGGGAGACUGGAAUUCCUGGUGUAGCGGUGAAAUGCGCAGAUAUCAGGAGGAACACCGGUGGCGAAGGCGGGUCUCUGGGCCGUAACUGACGCUGAGGAGCGAAAGCGUGGGGAGCAAACAGG